Molecule: transfer RNA, 83 nt
Filed under: Peredibacter sp.
Lineage: Bacteria; Pseudomonadati; Bdellovibrionota; Bacteriovoracia; Bacteriovoracales; Bacteriovoracaceae
Also listed under: 2 other names
Description: tRNA-Leu
Rfam family: tRNA
About the family: Transfer RNA (tRNA) molecules are approximately 80 nucleotides in length. Their secondary structure includes four short double-helical elements and three loops (D, anti-codon, and T loops). Further hydrogen bonds mediate the characteristic L-shaped molecular structure. tRNAs have two regions of fundamental functional importance: the anti-codon, which is responsible for specific mRNA codon recognition, and the 3' end, to which the tRNAs corresponding amino acid is attached (by aminoacyl-tRNA synthetases). tRNAs cope with the degeneracy of the genetic code in two manners: having more than one tRNA (with a specific anti-codon) for a particular amino acid; and 'wobble' base-pairing, i.e. permitting non-standard base-pairing at the 3rd anti-codon position.
Source: RNAcentral
GCCUCAGUGGUGGAAUUGGUAGACACGCUAGACUUAGGAUCUAGUGCUAACGCGUGGGGGUUCGAGUCCCUCCUGAGGCACCA